Molecule: non-coding RNA, 46 nt
Organism: Ailuropoda melanoleuca (giant panda)
Lineage: Eukaryota; Metazoa; Chordata; Mammalia; Carnivora; Ursidae
Source: Rfam
CCAAAGGCUCUUUUCAGAGCCACCACUAAGUCACAAAGGGUGCUGU